UCUACGGGAGGCAGCAGUGAGGAAUAUUGGUCAAUGGACGUGAGUCUGAACCAGCCAAGUAGCAUGAAGGAUGACUGCCCUAUGGGUUGUAAACUUCUUUUAUAUGGGAAUAAAACGUUCCACGUGUGGGAUUUUGUAUGUACCAUAUGAAUAAGGAUCGGCUAACUCCGUGCCAGCAGCCGCGGUAAUACGGAGGAUCCGAGCGUUAUCCGGAUUUAUUGGGGUUAAAGGGAGCGUAGGUGGAUUGGUAAGUCAGUUGUGAAAGUUUGCGGCUCAACCGUAAAAUUGCAGUUGAAACUGGAAGUCGUGAGUACAGUAGAGGUGGGCGGAAUUCGUGGUGUAGCGGUGAAAUGCUUAGAUAUAACGAAGAACUCCGAUUGCGAAGGCAGUUCACUGGACUGCAACUGACACUGAGGCUCGAAAGUGUGGGUAUCAAACAGGAUUAGAUACCCUAGUAGUC
Molecule: ribosomal RNA, 460 nt
Filed under: uncultured bacterium
Lineage: Bacteria
Description: partial 16S ribosomal RNA
Rfam family: Bacterial small subunit ribosomal RNA
Source: RNAcentral